GCCCUCGUAGCUCAGGGGAUAGAGCACCGCUCUCCUAAAGCGGGUGCCGCAGGUUCGAAUCCUGCCGGGGGCAC
Molecule: transfer RNA, 74 nt
Filed under: Pseudonocardia autotrophica
Lineage: Bacteria; Bacillati; Actinomycetota; Actinomycetes; Pseudonocardiales; Pseudonocardiaceae
Also listed under: 6 other names
Description: tRNA-Arg
Rfam family: tRNA
About the family: Transfer RNA (tRNA) molecules are approximately 80 nucleotides in length.
Source: RNAcentral